Molecule: ribosomal RNA, 470 nt
Filed under: uncultured bacterium
Lineage: Bacteria
Description: bacterial SSU rRNA
Rfam family: Bacterial small subunit ribosomal RNA
Source: RNAcentral
ACUCCUACGGGAGGCAGCAGUGGGGAAUAUUGCACAAUGGGCGCAAGCCUGAUGCAGCCAUGCCGCGUGUAUGAAGAAGGCCUUCGGGUUGUAAAGUACUUUCAGCAGUGAGGAAGGUGGGUAUGUUAAUAGCAUAUCAUUUGACGUUAGCUGCAGAAGAAGCACCGGCUAACUCCGUGCCAGCAGCCGCGGUAAUACGGAGGGUGCGAGCGUUAAUCGGAAUUACUGGGCGUAAAGCGCAUGCAGGUGGUUUGUUAAGUCAGAUGUGAAAGCCCGGGGCUCAACCUCGGAAUUGCAUUUGAAACUGGCAAACUAGAGUACUGUAGAGGGGGGUAGAAUUUCAGGUGUAGCGGUGAAAUGCGUAGAGAUCUGAAGGAAUACCGGUGGCGAAGGCGGCCCCCUGGACAGAUACUGACACUCAGAUGCGAAAAGCGUGGGGAGCAAACAGGAUUAGAUACCCUGGUAGGCGU